This 306-nucleotide ribosomal RNA is filed under the name uncultured Helotiales. RNAcentral describes it as "eukaryotic LSU rRNA". It matches the Rfam family "Eukaryotic large subunit ribosomal RNA", at positions 1 to 302 of the family's 3401-position model. The record is from RNAcentral. Lineage: Eukaryota; Fungi; Ascomycota; Leotiomycetes; Helotiales.
UUGACCUCGGAUCAGGUGGGGAUACCCGCUAAACUUAAGCAUAUCAAUAAGCGGAGGAAAAGAAACCAACAGGGAUUGCCUCAGUAACGGCGAGUGAAGCGGCAACAGCUCAAAUUUGAAAUCUGGCUCUCUUAGGGUCCGAGUUGUAAUUUGUAGAAGAUGCUUCGGGUGUGGCUCCGGCCUAAGUUCCUUGGAACAGGACGUCAUAGAGGGUGAGAAUCCCGUAUGUGACUGGCGGCCUUCGCCUGUGUGAAGCUCUUUCGACGAGUCGAGUUGUUUGGGAAUGCAGCUCAAAAUGGGUGGUAA